Small nucleolar RNA from Pochonia chlamydosporia 170, 94 nucleotides. It matches the Rfam family "A. fumigatus snoRNA Afu_335". Lineage: Eukaryota; Fungi; Ascomycota; Sordariomycetes; Hypocreales; Clavicipitaceae. The record is from Rfam.
CGCAAUGAUGAACCCCAAGAUAGGGACAGCUUAUACUUCGGUAUAUGAUGUGAACCUGGGCGAAUAUUUUAGUAGAUGCUUCGAUUUUCUGAGC